GAUGAACGCUGGCGGCGUGCCUAAUACAUGCAAGUCGAGCGAACAGACGAGGAGCUUGCUCCUCUGACGUUAGCGGCGGACGGGUGAGUAACACGUGGAUAACCUACCUAUAUGACUGGGAUAACUUCGGGAAACCGGAGCUAAUACCGGAUGAUAUAUUGAACCGCAUGGUUCAAUAGUGAAAGACGGUUUUGCUGUCACUUAUCGAUGGAUCCGCGCCGCAUUAGCUAGUUGGUAAGGUAACGGCUUACCAAGGCAACGAUGCGUAGCCGACCUGAGAGGGUGAUCGGCCACACUGGAACUGAGACACGGUCCAGACUCCUACGGGAGGCAGCAGUAGGGAAUCUACCGCAAUGGGCGAAGGACUGACGGAGCAACGCCGCGUGAGUGAUGAAGGUCUUCGGAUCGGAAAACUCUGUUAUUAGGGAAGAACAAAUGUGUAAGUAACUAUGCACGGCGUGACGGUACCUAAUCAGAAAGCAACGGCUAACUACGUG
RNAcentral lists this ribosomal RNA (497 nucleotides) under uncultured bacterium. RNAcentral describes it as "partial 16S ribosomal RNA". It matches the Rfam family "Bacterial small subunit ribosomal RNA", at positions 28 to 507 of the family's 1533-position model. The record is from RNAcentral.